RNAcentral lists this long non-coding RNA (1210 nucleotides) under Vulpes vulpes (red fox). RNAcentral's name for it is "lncRNA (ENSVVUG00000020477.1)". Lineage: Eukaryota; Metazoa; Chordata; Mammalia; Carnivora; Canidae. The record is from RNAcentral.
ACAAAUUCAGACUUUAUUUUUAUCACAUUGUACUUGAUCCUUUAAUAACUCUGUCGACAGAUUCUUGAUUGGCUGUCCCUGAAUAAGAUGCUCUGACUGAUUUCUGCUAAAAUACUGAGUAUAUUUUCUACAUGUUCACUGAUGUCUUUUCUCAUUGUCAUCAUCAAAGUUCAUGAACACAUUUUUGAAGUGAAAAACCCAAAUUAUUCUGUGCAUAUAAAUAAUAUUUUAACUGGCUGAUUGUAACAGUAUGAGGGGCCUUUUAUAAUUUCAUAUGACACGUGAAAAUUAAAAGUUCAACUUCAAUCUAAAAUAUUUAAUGAAAGCACACCAAAACAAACUCCGUAAUCUAAAAGAAAACUACAAAAAAAUUGCAUAGUAUAUUAAAAUUAAUUAUACUUUCAGCGGUUGAAGAGAAUGAAGUAUUGAUUAAAUAAAUUUAUUAAAAGUGCAAUGGGUAAACCCAAGUUCCAAGUCAAAUUUUCCAAAAUAACAUUAUUUUUCACAGCACAUAUUUACUCAUCUCAAAUAUUCUUCUUUCUGUAAAUAGUAUUACAAUCCAGCCAAUUGCUCUCACCCAAACUCCAGACAUCUUCUCUAAUUUCUCAUUUCCCCCUUUUCAGCAUAUAAUCCAAUAGCCUAUUUUAUUUGUCUUACUUCCAAAAUGUGCUUAUGAUCUUUCCUCUCCUUUCAAUUUUACUUCCUAUCAACAUUUUCCAAAUAAGCAUCUCAUCUCAACUACUGCAAUAGCAUCUGUGACAAAGACUGCUGGAACCACCACCUCCUCAGUUUGUAAGUGUUGCCUUACCACAUAUAUGCUAGUACUCAAGAUGUGUGGCAGAUGUUGGAAUCUCAACAUGAUGACGGUAAACUACUUGUUUGAGUCUUUUUUCAAAACCUUUCAUCAAAUCUUUCUUCUGAACUCUGCAAUUUGUCCAUGUUUCUUCGCCGAUGUUUCACUACUGUAUACAUUUAUGUGCCUGUGCGCGAUAAUGAAUGAUGCCCUAAGGUACCUGCUGUUUUAUCUGAGCUUUCAUUCUGGUGAAUAUAAUUAUGUGUUUUCACAUAUUUGUUAUUCCUUUUAAUUCUCUGUAUUUUCCCUUGAUUUAUUCUGAAUUUUUUUCCUGUUGGAAACAUUUACACUUAGGUUAACAAAUUUACUUAUGAAACUAUUGAUGAAUAAAUAAAUGUGUGAAGUGAAGUGGAUCCA